RNAcentral lists this long non-coding RNA (496 nucleotides) under Androctonus crassicauda. The record is from RNAcentral. Lineage: Eukaryota; Metazoa; Arthropoda; Arachnida; Scorpiones; Buthidae.
GUGUGUUAUGUGCAGUUUACCAAAAUUGUGUAAGAAUGAAACCCUGUUAUAUAGGUAUCAUGUUAUGUAAGGAUUGCUGCAAUUUUCUAACCAUGUUAUAUGGAAGUGCUUUAUGAUGAUCUGAUCUCAUGAUUGCACUUAUGAUAUUCUGAAUUUGGCUAUUUUUGCGGAGUAUUAGCUGGAAAUACUUUUCUGUUUUAUUGGGGAUUUACGGUUGGCCAAUGGCUGCAUGGCAAAGCAAUUGCUUACCACCUUGAAAAUUCUGCAUUCAAUCCUGACAAUUUUAUCAUCUGAAGGAUUGAGUUCAAAUCCAGACAGUUUUAUCUCCUUAAAGGUUCUGGUCUCCCAUUGUCAAAUAUUACUACUGUGGAUCUCAGAAAGCUCCUAUCUCCAUUUUUGUUUUUGUAUUUUAUGCUUAUCAUAUAUAUAUCAUAUUUAUGUCAUGUCUAUGUUAUAUUUUUAAUAAUUUUUAUCAUAAUAUGUAUGUUUUCUUUGU